Molecule: ribosomal RNA, 3540 nt
Filed under: Triticum aestivum (bread wheat)
Lineage: Eukaryota; Viridiplantae; Streptophyta; Magnoliopsida; Poales; Poaceae
Description: partial small subunit ribosomal RNA
Source: RNAcentral
GGGCGUGUUUGGGAUGGGAAAGAUCGCGAGGGUUUAGCUACGUCGGCGGAGGGGAGAGGGAGGGAAGGAGGGGUUUACGCGGCCGGCGGAGGAGAGGUGGACAGCGGAGGGGAGAGGGAGGGAAGGAGGGGUUUGUGCGACCGGCGGAGGAGAGGAGGACGGUAUGGCGCAGGGACGACGGGGGUACCGGAGAAGUCCUCCGUGUGGGGAGGUACCACGCUUCGUCGUCUGGUGCUAGACCUACUCCUUCUCCUCUAGGCCCGCGGGGUUGCCACCUAGCUAGCUACGCUCCACUGCUGCUCGAGGAAACCUGCACCCCCUCGUCGCUCCGGCCUCUAGGUCAGCCGCGUACGCCCAGGUUCGACGUCGCGAGGCCAGGGGUUCGGCGGAGGUCCGAGCGAAGGAGGUAGGAGGGCGUAGCUAGCGUGGGGAGGAGGGCGUAGAGUGGGUAGAGCUACCUAACGUACGCCUGUGUCUCCGCUCCAAGAGGCCGCCGCCGCCCUUUGAGGUCCAUCUCUCGCUGGGGUACCUAGGCAGGGACAUCCUCUCUUCCUUCCUCUCCUCUGUCCGGUACCUCUACCCUACUCACGCGCUGGGGUCCUAAAACGCGACAGUAGAAGAAAACGGCCAGCCCCGGGACCUUCUCGCUGUGGUCGGUCCGUAACAUACCCUACCUAGAUAGUACGACCCUAAUCAACAUUUGAAGGAACGACUUGGGAUGUCCCUCGUUACGUAGGGGUCAAACGAAGGUCUCUUCCUUCCCCUUCUCCCAAAAUAACAACGACGAUAAGGAGUACCUAUAAGUUCUCCGUUGAACCGUGGAUUACAGUCGUUGCACGAAUAGCCACUGCUCCCUUUACUUUCUUCCGACAUUACCUUAAACAUGAUCUAGUCUAAAACCGGUAUAUCAAAGGUCACAGACCUUCAGAUUUUGACUCCUAUCCCGUCUAACAAAACUAAGGUUAAUGAACCUCUAGAACACCGAACGACAGGGACCUAGUCAGUCUGGAUGCCGUCGUAGUUGAGCAACUAGGAUCUCCGGUACCAAGAGCUCCACUCAACUCAACGACGAACCAACCUCUACAACUACAGCAAGCUCUGCGGGCGACCUAAGUGGGAAGAGUUCCAAGACUUAUUCCCUUUCGAGCUGUUCCUGCUCACCAUGUCCAUACUAGAAGUACCUCGAUCGGUAGUAACCUAAACCAUUAUGUAUUAGUGAACAAGUCUCUCGGGUUCCACUCUUCCCUGCUCGUAGAUCUUGUGGUGGUGGAUGAUUAGUCUCAAAGGAUGGAAAGAAGACGUUUAGACCUUACGGAAAUACCGUACUAGUACACUUUUUCAUGGAACUACGUCAUUACCUAAACUAAUUGUGACCAAUGAGACAAAAGUGCUUAAUGAUAGGUUGACGUUCAGACAAGAUAUGGGAUUCCGGGUACAUUUAGACUAUCUUCUAAUUCGAUAAAUUAAAAUUAAUUUUUCCUAUUAUAAGAAAGUCAACGAACUUAGACAGGUCUGGACUUUUUAUGAAUAUGAAACUUUCGAACUAUAUACUCAUACAUUAAAAUGUCCAUACAUUUAUCGGCUGUUACAAUAACAAGUUUACAUGAGCUCGGUCCAAAAGCCACAAAGUAACGUUGGUUUUCUUAAUCAUUAUAAAAAAACUACUUUUGUACCAUUGUGAACAGCCACAACAUAUUAUCCUAAAAAUUAAUCACCGUAUCCUUAAAAAAGGGAUUCUAGGUGAUACUUCAACUAACUUUCAGGUAAAAGGGAUUCUAGGUGAUACUGUUGCUUUUUCUAAAGACUUUUGACACAAUGGUAUUUACAGGUAGUAACAGGUAUCGUCAGGGUUCGCCUUUUUUUUAGGAUGUACUGGCUCAACAUACCUGGGCUAGCACUCUGGGUGAGGUCGCGAGCGGUUGACAGGCAGGCUUAGAAUUACGUUGUCCGCAGAGGAAGGGGCGAAGGGACAAAGUGAGGAAUAGAGGAGGUUGUGUGGGUUUUAGGUCAGCGACCAGUACGGUAAGAACGGUGGCGAACUGCCGUGCCGCGCGGGCGUGGUGAAAGGGGACCCUCGGAACGGCGGUUACCACGGCCCGCGCCACCAGCGGGGGCGGAGUAGGGGGAAGGGACAAACGUUUAGAUCUAACUUUGAGUUUGGUAAAUAAGACGAUCUAUACGAACAUGACUUUAAUAAUAGAAUAUGUAACUGUCUCCUACCUUCUUGGUUUUCCAUCAACUAGUCGUCCUACCGUUCUCCUUCUGUUCUCGGUUUAAUUUCAAACAAAGACACGUACAGACAUAGAUAGUUCUAAGUCACGAUACAUCUUUACAGGGACUCUAAACAAAGGGAGUUGCUCUGGUUUGUUAGUCCUUGUGUUCAUCCUAUCAACUACGAAAAAAGUAAAAAGAAGACUAUUUUUCCUUAGAAGUAGACGGUUCUUAUGCCGGAUGUUCGUACAUACGGAUUAAUGGAUAUACAACUAAAUUGCUUGAGUGUAUGUACAGGUAAAGACUUUUAUCAAAUGGGUAGGAGUUUGUAUAUUGAACACACAACAACGAAAGGUAAUAUAACUCUUUUUGUAUUCAAGGUAACCUGGAAAAUAAGUAAGUCCUCGAGAUUUACUGUGGCAACAUAACCGUUGUAUAAGUCAGUAAAGCCUAGUAGAAAGUCUCAGUAAGAUCUGAUAAGUACUGUUUAACAACCACACACGACAUUUUUUGAUUUUUUUUCCGUCAAGUACAAAUAAAAAGAAGACUUAAAACAAGGGGAUAUUCUACACCGGAUGACAUAUGAGAACCCUAUUUACUCAACACUGCAAACAACAACAGGUGAUAAAAGAAACGUCAAAGGGACCAUACAACAGUUGUUAAACCGCACUUGUAAGGUCCGAACAGUCUCUGUUUAAGUAUUCCAAACUGUUAUGUACAACCGGUUAACAGUCCAUUGUUUCGUUCGUAUAUCAAUGUCUUGUUUUUAUAUAUCAGUAAAAAUAAAAGGUUGUUCAUUUACCGUCGCUGUCUCACCGUGGGUCGGUUGUUUCCUAAACUCCGGCUAGUUAUGGGAAUACGGUUAUAUGUACCAAGUCAAGACCUGGUGUUGUCAAGUGUAAAAACAAUGACUUUUGGGAGUCCCGGAGUGGAUAGGUACUACCAACUUUCUUCACCAUCUCCUUCUAUGGUGUGUCCGACAAUGUUUUGAAUAGCGACCUGGAUAUGUAGUGUGUAACUAGAAGUGUAGGUACGGGAGCUGUUAUUUCCCCUAGUUAGCGCACUACCUACCCGAUCUCAAACAAACGUACCAGCUGAUGCGUCGCAGUGAUCCUACGGGCUACCUAUCGGCAACACGGUCGAGGCUCCACGGUACAUCAAGCAGCGGUACCGACUGAAGUGCGCACUGCCUCGUCUACCUACCCAUCGGGCACCACCAUGUAGUCCCUGCUGCACGGCGUGCCGGCGGCGGCACGGCAGUCCGCCACCGCUCUUACUGUACUGGUCGCCGACCUAAAACCCCCGCAACCUCCUCUAUUCCUCACUUUA